RNAcentral lists this transfer RNA (74 nucleotides) under Dialister micraerophilus. Its description in RNAcentral is "tRNA-Cys(gca)". It matches the Rfam family "tRNA". Rfam says of the family: Transfer RNA (tRNA) molecules are approximately 80 nucleotides in length. RNAcentral also lists the same sequence under 2 other names. The record is from RNAcentral. Lineage: Bacteria; Bacillati; Bacillota; Negativicutes; Veillonellales; Veillonellaceae.
GGCGGCAUAGCCAAGCGGUAAGGCAGAGGUCUGCAAAACCUUUAUCCUCAGUUCGAUUCUGAGUGCCGCCUCCA